GGGCCUAUAGUUCAGAGGUAGAAUUUCGGUCUCCAAAACCGAAGACCUUGGUUCGAUUCCAAGUGGGCCCGCAA
RNAcentral lists this transfer RNA (74 nucleotides) under Omnitrophica WOR_2 bacterium RIFCSPHIGHO2_01_FULL_48_9. RNAcentral's name for it is "tRNA-Trp". It matches the Rfam family "tRNA". From Rfam's summary of the family: Transfer RNA (tRNA) molecules are approximately 80 nucleotides in length. Their secondary structure includes four short double-helical elements and three loops (D, anti-codon, and T loops). The record is from RNAcentral. Lineage: Bacteria; Pseudomonadati; Candidatus Omnitrophota.